This 32-nucleotide non-coding RNA is filed under the name Mus musculus (house mouse). The record is from RNAcentral. Lineage: Eukaryota; Metazoa; Chordata; Mammalia; Rodentia; Muridae.
UGUAAUUGUUAUCUUCCAGAAAAAUGUGACCU